CGGUGUUUAACUGGCGUGAUGUGGGACGUCCUACCGGUGGGCUUAGCCUCGCGAGGGGCGGCCCAACUAAUAUCCCGUCGCGGUGCUCUUUACUGAGUGUCGAGUCGGGCCGGUACGUUUACUUUGAACAAAUUAGAGUGCUUAAAGCAGGCUAUCCUCGCCUGAAUACUGCGUGCAUGGAAUAAUGGAAUAGGACCUCGGUUCUAUUUUGUUGGUUUUCGGAACCCCGAGGUAAUGAUUAAUAGGGACAGAUGGGGGCAUUCGUAUUGCGACGUUAGAGGUGAAAUUCUUGGAUCGUCGCAAGACGGACAGAAGCGAAAGCAUUUGCCAAAAAUGUUUUCAUUAAUCAAGAACGAAAGUUAGAGGUUCGAAGGCGAUCAGAUACCGCCCUAGUUCUAACCAUAAACGAUGCCAGCUAGCGAUCCGCCGAAGUUCCUCCGAUGACUCGGCGGGCAGCUUCCGGGAAACCAAAGCUUUUGGGUUCCGGGGGAAGUAUGGUUGCAAAGCUGAAACUUAAAGGAAUUGACGGAAGGGCACCACCAGGAGUGGAGCCUGCGGCUUAAUUUGACUCAACACGGGAAACCUCACCAGGCCCAGACACCGGAAGGAUUGACAGAUUGAUAGCUCUUUCUUGAUUCGGUGGGUGGUGCAUGGCCGUUCUUAGUUGGUGGAGCGAUUUGUCUGGUUAAUUCCGAUAACGAACGAGACUCUAGCCUGCUAAAUAGGCGUACCUUAUGGUAUCGCGAAGGCCCCCGGCUUCGGCCGGUGGGUUUUUACUACCAACGUACAAACAAAUCUUCUUAGAGGGACAGGCGG
RNAcentral lists this ribosomal RNA (816 nucleotides) under uncultured eukaryote. RNAcentral's name for it is "SSU rRNA". It matches the Rfam family "Eukaryotic small subunit ribosomal RNA", at positions 629 to 1426 of the family's 1831-position model. The record is from RNAcentral.